This 551-nucleotide ribosomal RNA is filed under the name Staphylococcus hominis. Its description in RNAcentral is "bacterial SSU rRNA". It matches the Rfam family "Bacterial small subunit ribosomal RNA", at positions 311 to 853 of the family's 1533-position model. Lineage: Bacteria; Bacillati; Bacillota; Bacilli; Caryophanales; Staphylococcaceae. The record is from RNAcentral.
CACUGGAACUGAGACACGGUCCAGACUCCUACGGGAGGCAGCAGUAGGGAAUCUUCCGCAAUGGGCGAAAGCCUGACGGAGCAACGCCGCGUGAGUGAUGAAGGUCUUCGGAUCGUAAAACUCUGUUGUUAGGGAAGAACAAAUUUGUUAGUAACUGAACAAGUCUUGACGGUACCUAACCAGAAAGCCACGGCUAACUACGUGCCAGCAGCCGCGGUAAUACGUAGGUGGCAAGCGUUAUCCGGAAUUAUUGGGCGUAAAGCGCGCGUAGGCGGUUUCUUAAGUCUGAUGUGAAAGCCCACGGCUCAACCGUGGAGGGUCAUUGGAAACUGGGAAACUUGAGUGCAGAAGAGGAGAGUGGAAUUCCAUGUGUAGCGGUGAAAUGCGCAGAGAUAUGGAGGAACACCAGUGGCGAAGGCGGCUCUCUGGUCUGUAACUGACGCUGAUGUGCGAAAGCGUGGGGAUCAAACAGGAUUAGAUACCCUGGUAGUCCACGCCGUAAACGAUGAGUGCUAAGUGUUAGGGGGUUUCCGCCCCUUAGUGCUGCAGCU